CCUACGGGAGGCAGCAGUGAGGAAUAUUGGUCAAUGGACGGAAGUCUGAACCAGCCAUGCCGCGUGCAGGCAGACGGCUCUAUGAGUUGUAAACUGCUUUUGUACAAGGGUAAACCUGAAUACGUGUAUUCCGCUUCAAGUACUUUACGAAUAAGGAUCGCCUAACUCCGUGCCAGCAGCCGCGUUAAUACGGAGGAUCCAAGCGUUAUCCGGAUUUAUUGGGUUUAAAGUGUGCGUAGGCGGAUUGAUAAGUUAGAGGUGAAAUGUCCGAGCUUAACUCGGGAACUGCCUCUAAUACUGUUGAGCUAGAGAGUAGAUGCGGUAGGCGGAAUGUAUGGUGUAGCGGUGAAAUGCUUAGAGAUCAUACAGAACACCGAUUGCGAAGGCAGCUUACCAAGCUAUAUCUGACGUUGAGGCACGAAAGCGUGGGGAGCAAACAGGAUUAGAUACCCUUGUAGUC
Molecule: ribosomal RNA, 460 nt
Filed under: uncultured bacterium
Lineage: Bacteria
Description: partial 16S ribosomal RNA
Rfam family: Bacterial small subunit ribosomal RNA
Source: RNAcentral